This is a long non-coding RNA of Erigeron canadensis, 420 nucleotides long. RefSeq lists it as uncharacterized. NCBI's taxonomy places the organism in Eukaryota, Viridiplantae, Streptophyta, Magnoliopsida, Asterales, Asteraceae. The transcript has 2 exons. The record is from RefSeq and is a predicted model, not a curated record.
CCCACCACCACCACCAAAGUUUAUCUAAUACCAUUCUAUUUAUUAAAUGAAUAAAGGGUAGAGAAUAGAAAUACACGUUAGAGAAAUGGUGGUGGCAGCACAUGAGUUUAUGUUACAAGGUAUGUAUUUACAAGAUCUAAAAGUUUUUGUUACUUUGGUGCGGAUCUAAUACCCAUGACCGAAUAACACUCCAUUGGAUAAACAAGAAAACGAGUUGGCAUCUAUGGAUCUUCAUUGUUGCCAAAGAGAUCUACUUUUUCCCUUCUCUGUAUUCUACUUCUUCCAUUUUUUUUUAGAUCUAUGAUACUUAUUUACAUUUUUAUUAUAUUUGUUAUUUGAUUUUUUUUUAUCUAUGUAAUGGAAUUUGGACGUGUAUAAUGAUAGUAGCAUUUGUUAAUUGGAAAGUUAUAUUUCUUUAAA